GGGGCUGUGGCUCAGGUGACAGAGUGCCUGCCUGGUAUUCACAAAGCCCUGGGUUCCAUCCCCAGCACCACCU
This 73-nucleotide transfer RNA is filed under the name Cricetulus griseus (Chinese hamster). It matches the Rfam family "tRNA". Rfam says of the family: Transfer RNA (tRNA) molecules are approximately 80 nucleotides in length. Their secondary structure includes four short double-helical elements and three loops (D, anti-codon, and T loops). Lineage: Eukaryota; Metazoa; Chordata; Mammalia; Rodentia; Cricetidae. The record is from Rfam by way of RNAcentral.